GAUGAACGCUGGCGGCGUGCUUAACACAUGCAGGUCGAGCGAACGGACGAGAAGCUUGCUUCUCUGAUGUUAGCGGCGGACGGGUGAGUAACAUGUGCAUAACCUACCUAUAAGACUGGGAUAACUUCGGGAAACCGGAGCUAAUACCGGAUAAUAUUUUGAACCGCAGGGUUCAAAAGUGAAAGACGGUCUUGCUGUCCCUUAUAGAUGGAUGCGCGCUGCUUUAGCUAGUUGGUAAGGUAACGGCUUACCAAGGCAACGAUGCAUAGCCGACCUGAGAGGGUGAUCGGCCACACUGGGACUGAGACACGGUCCAGACUCCUACGGGAGGCAGCAGUAGGGAAUGUUCGGCAAUGGGCGAAAGCCUGACGGAGCAACGCCGCGUGAGUGAUGAAGGUCUUCGGGUCGUAAAACUCUGUUAGUAGGGAAGAACAUAUGUGUAAGUAGCUGAGCACAUCUUGACGGUACCUGAAGAGAAAGCAACGGCUAACUACGUG
This 497-nucleotide ribosomal RNA is filed under the name uncultured bacterium. Its description in RNAcentral is "partial 16S ribosomal RNA". It matches the Rfam family "Bacterial small subunit ribosomal RNA", at positions 28 to 507 of the family's 1533-position model. The record is from RNAcentral.